GACGAACGCUGGCGGCGUGCUUAACACAUGCAAGUCGAACGGAAAGGCCCUGCUUUUGUGGGGUGCUCGAGUGGCGAACGGGUGAGUAACACGUGAGUAACCUGCCCUUGACUUUGGGAUAACUUCAGGAAACUGGGGCUAAUACCGGAUAGGAGCUCCUGCUGCAUGGUGGGGGUUGGAAAGUUUCGGCGGUUGGGGAUGGACUCGCGGCUUAUCAGCUUGUUGGUGGGGUAGUGGCAUACCAAGGCUUUGACGGGUAGCCGGCCUGAGAGGGUGACCGGCCAAAUUGGGACUGAGAUACGGCCCAGACUCCAACGGGAGGCAGCAGUGGAGAAUAUUGCACAAUGGGCUGAAGCCUGAUGCAGCACCGCCGCGUGCGGGAUGACGGCCUUCGGGUUGUAAACCGCUUUCGCCUGUGACGAAGCGUGAGUGACGGUAACGGGUAAAGAAGCACCGGCUAACUACGUG
Molecule: ribosomal RNA, 468 nt
Filed under: uncultured bacterium
Lineage: Bacteria
Description: partial 16S ribosomal RNA
Rfam family: Bacterial small subunit ribosomal RNA
Source: RNAcentral